RNAcentral lists this ribosomal RNA (492 nucleotides) under uncultured bacterium. RNAcentral describes it as "partial 16S ribosomal RNA". It matches the Rfam family "Bacterial small subunit ribosomal RNA", at positions 29 to 507 of the family's 1533-position model. The record is from RNAcentral.
AGUGAACGCUGGCGGUGGGCCUAACACAUGCAAGUCGAACGGCAGCACAGUAAGAGCUUGCUCUUACGGGUGGCGAGUGGCGGACGGGUGAGGAAUACAUCGGAAUCUACUUUUUCGUGGGGGAUAACGCAGGGAAACUUACGCUAAUACCGCAUACGACCUACGGGUGAAAGCAGGGGAUCUUCGGACCUUGCGCGAUUGAAUGAGCCGAUGUCGGAUUAGCUAGUUGGCGGGGUAAAGGCCCACCAAGGCGACGAUCCGUAGCUGGUCUGAGAGGAUGAUCAGCCACACUGGAACUGAGACACGGUCCAGACUCCUACGGGAGGCAGCAGUGGGGAAUAUUGGACAAUGGGCGCAAGCCUGAUCCAGCCAUACCGCGUGGGUGAAGAAGGCCUUCGGGUUGCAAAGCCCUUUUGUUGGGAAAGAAAAGCAGCAGGUUAAUACCCCGCUGUUCUGACGGUACCCAAAGAAUAAGCACCGGCUAACUUCGUG